UUUGAUCCUGGCUCAGGAUGAACGCUGGCGGCGUGCUUAACACAUGCAAGUCGAACGAAGCGCUACCGACGGAACUUUUCGGAGGGAAGAUGGUAAUGACUGAGUGGCGGACGGGUGAGUAACGCGUGGGUAACCUGCCUCACAGAGGGGGACAACAGCCGGAAACGGCUGCUAAUACCGCAUAACAAGGGAUCUCCGCAUGAAGGUUCCUUCAAAGAUUUAUCGCUGUGAGAUGGACCCGCGUCUGAUUAGCUAGUUGGCAGGGUAACGGCCUACCAAGGCGACGAUCAGUAGCCGGCUUGAGAGAGUGAACGGCCACAUUGGGACUGAGACACGGCCCAGACUCCUACGGGAGGCAGCAGUGGGGAAUAUUGCACAAUGGGGGAAACCCUGAUGCAGCGACGCCGCGUGAGUGAAGAAGUAUUUCGAUAUGUAAAGCUCUAUCAGCAGGGAAGAUAAUGACGGUACCUGACUAAGAAGCCCCGGCUAACUACGUG
RNAcentral lists this ribosomal RNA (497 nucleotides) under uncultured Lachnospiraceae bacterium. RNAcentral's name for it is "bacterial SSU rRNA". It matches the Rfam family "Bacterial small subunit ribosomal RNA", at positions 12 to 507 of the family's 1533-position model. The record is from RNAcentral. Lineage: Bacteria; Bacillati; Bacillota; Clostridia; Lachnospirales; Lachnospiraceae.